RNAcentral lists this transfer RNA (64 nucleotides) under Chaceon granulatus. RNAcentral's name for it is "tRNA-Gly". RNAcentral also lists the same sequence under 1 other name. Lineage: Eukaryota; Metazoa; Arthropoda; Malacostraca; Decapoda; Geryonidae. The record is from RNAcentral.
AUUUUUUUAAUAUAACCAAGUAUAUCUGACUUCCAAUCAGAAAGUCUAGUUUCUAGAAAAAAUA